Molecule: ribosomal RNA, 700 nt
Filed under: Burkholderia cenocepacia
Lineage: Bacteria; Pseudomonadati; Pseudomonadota; Betaproteobacteria; Burkholderiales; Burkholderiaceae
Description: bacterial SSU rRNA
Rfam family: Bacterial small subunit ribosomal RNA
Source: RNAcentral
GCCUGAUCCAGCAAUGCCGCGUGUGUGAAGAAGGCCUUCGGGUUGUAAAGCACUUUUGUCCGGAAAGAAAUCCUUGGUUCUAAUACAGCCGGGGGAUGACGGUACCGGAAGAAUAAGCACCGGCUAACUACGUGCCAGCAGCCGCGGUAAUACGUAGGGUGCGAGCGUUAAUCGGAAUUACUGGGCGUAAAGCGUGCGCAGGCGGUUUGCUAAGACCGAUGUGAAAUCCCCGGGCUCAACCUGGGAACUGCAUUGGUGACUGGCAGGCUAGAGUAUGGCAGAGGGGGGUAGAAUUCCACGUGUAGCAGUGAAAUGCGUAGAGAUGUGGAGGAAUACCGAUGGCGAAGGCAGCCCCCUGGGCCAAUACUGACGCUCAUGCACGAAAGCGUGGGGAGCAAACAGGAUUAGAUACCCUGGUAGUCCACGCCCUAAACGAUGUCAACUAGUUGUUGGGGAUUCAUUUCCUUAGUAACGUAGCUAACGCGUGAAGUUGACCGCCUGGGGAGUACGGUCGCAAGAUUAAAACUCAAAGGAAUUGACGGGGACCCGCACAAGCGGUGGAUGAUGUGGAUUAAUUCGAUGCAACGCGAAAAACCUUACCUACCCUUGACAUGGUCGGAAUCCUGCUGAGAGGCGGGAGUGCUCGAAAGAGAACCGGCGCACAGGUGCUGCAUGGCUGUCGUCAGCUCGUGUCGUGAGA